RNAcentral lists this ribosomal RNA (458 nucleotides) under uncultured bacterium. RNAcentral describes it as "bacterial SSU rRNA". It matches the Rfam family "Bacterial small subunit ribosomal RNA", at positions 340 to 786 of the family's 1533-position model. The record is from RNAcentral.
UACGGAAGGCAGCAGUGGGGAAUAUUGCACAAUGGGCGAAAGCCUGAUGCAGCUAUGCCGCGUGUAUGAAGAAGGCCUUAGGGUUGUAAAGUACUUUCAUCGGGGAGGAAAAACAAAACUAAUAAUUUUAUUUCUUGACGUUACCCGAAAAAGAAGCACCGGCUAACUCCGUGCCAGCAGCCGCGGUAAUACGGAGGGUGCUAGCGUUAAUCAGAAUUACUGGGCGUAAAGAGCACGUAGGUGGUUUUUUUAAGUCAGAUGUGAAAUCCCUGGGCUUAACCUAGGAACUGCAUUUUGAAACUGAAAUACUAGAGUAUCGUAGAGGGAGGUAGAAGUUCUAGGUGUAGCGGUGAAAUGCGUAGAUAUCUGGAGGAAUACCUGUGGCGAAAGCGGCCUCCUAAACCGAAUACUGACACUGAGGUGCGAAAGCGUGGGGAGCAAACGAGGGAUUAGAUACC